AAUAUAAAUACAUCUAUAAGUGCUCGAAAUCAAUCGAGAUAAUAGGGAAAUCGGUGAGAAUCCGGUACAGCCCCCGCUACUGUAAUAGCUGAUGAAAUCGCAAAUGCCACUGGUGUAAACUUGGGAAGGCGCGAAAGUAAAUGGAAGCUUAAGUCAGGAAACCUGCUUAGUUGAUGGCAUGCAA
RNAcentral lists this non-coding RNA (184 nucleotides) under Lysinibacillus contaminans. The record is from RNAcentral. Lineage: Bacteria; Bacillati; Bacillota; Bacilli; Caryophanales; Bacillaceae.